RNAcentral lists this ribosomal RNA (315 nucleotides) under uncultured bacterium. RNAcentral describes it as "bacterial SSU rRNA". It matches the Rfam family "Bacterial small subunit ribosomal RNA", at positions 28 to 334 of the family's 1533-position model. The record is from RNAcentral.
GAUGAACGCUAGCUACAGGCUUAACACAUGCAAGUCGAGGGGCAGCGGGAUUGAAGCUUGCUUCAAUUGCCGGCGACCGGCGCACGGGUGAGUAACGCGUAUCCAACCUUCCGCUUACUCGGGGAUAGCCUUUCGAAAGAAAGAUUAACACCCGAUGGUAUCUUAAGCACGCAUGAGAUUAAGAUUAAAGAUUUAUCGCUUGGAGACGGUCUUAUAUUCUAUCAGCUAGUUGGUGGGGUAACGGCCUACCAAGGCUACGACGGAUAGCCGGCCUGAAAGGGCGACCGGCCACAAGGGCACUGAGACACGGGCCCU